CCUCGAACACCAGACCGCCGGUUCUGAAAAACAGAAAGCGCGUUCCUAGCGCCUCGAUGGUCCGGUCGAGUUUCAUGUCGAACCCGAGCCGCGCGCCGUAGAGCGCCGCGGUCCGCUCGGGAUCCGGUGUCGCGAUCACGAGAUGAUCGAGCAUCUCGACCGAAGCUGGCGCGAUCUCGGGCGAGCGUGCGAGUCGUUCGCCCCGCUGAAGAAAGAACAGCCG
Molecule: unclassified non-coding RNA, 223 nt
Filed under: Hevea brasiliensis (rubber tree)
Lineage: Eukaryota; Viridiplantae; Streptophyta; Magnoliopsida; Malpighiales; Euphorbiaceae
Source: RNAcentral